UAUGCCUUUGACAUAUGAGAAAUAUGAAACUUGGGAAUAUGUGAGACACAAAGGACCAAAGGAAGGAAGAUAGGAAGAAAAAACCCGUCAGACUUGAAUGGCACUAAGAUGUAAUAAAGACUGAAAAUAACUGGCCCAUCCGCGUUGUCCCUUAUGGCUGUGUGGAGAGCAGCGUUGAGAGGGCGUCUGAAGCUGAGUGCGCUGCAGCGGGAGCACUGCUGUUAGUGAGUCGUGACCAGGCUUCAGUGGAUUUUCAGAUUUCUAGGGUUGCUGCAACAAAUUACUACAAACUCUGAAAAUGUGGGCAUUUGGAGUCCAAGAAGAGAGCCCUUACUGGGGAGGUGAAUCAGCCGACUCCUUGAUAUUGGAUUUCCCAGCCUCCAGAAUUCUGGAAUGGAGACGAGACUAUAGAUCUAGCUGACAACUGAGACCACAAGAAUUACAGCCACACACCAGUUUGACAGAAUGGAAUCCAUCAAGGUGACGGGCAGGCCCUGGUUUUGGUUGUCCCGGGAGACCUGGGUGUCUUCACUACGGCCACUCCCGCUGCGCUGAUGCAGCACAGGGCUGGAUGACUUACAUUCCGAACAUACCGCCUUGGUCAGCUGAGAUCUGCAGUUGACCCUUGAACAGCAUGGGUUUGAACUGCUUGGACCCAUUUGUAUACGGAUUUUUUUCAACAGCUAUACAGAAAUAUAUGUGUUGAACAUCAUGUGUAAAACUUGUUCUGAAGUGGACAGCCGACACUUACACAGA
Molecule: non-coding RNA, 756 nt
Organism: Odocoileus virginianus texanus
Lineage: Eukaryota; Metazoa; Chordata; Mammalia; Artiodactyla; Cervidae
Source: RefSeq, a predicted model, not a curated record